RNAcentral lists this non-coding RNA (25 nucleotides) under Rattus norvegicus (Norway rat). Lineage: Eukaryota; Metazoa; Chordata; Mammalia; Rodentia; Muridae. The record is from RNAcentral.
UGCCAGUGGAGGAGUCUGAGCCCCA